RNAcentral lists this long non-coding RNA (3574 nucleotides) under Cricetulus griseus (Chinese hamster). RNAcentral's name for it is "lncRNA (ENSCGRG00015017677.2)". The record is from RNAcentral. Lineage: Eukaryota; Metazoa; Chordata; Mammalia; Rodentia; Cricetidae.
GGCGCGGCGCGGCGCGGGCGCGGAGCGUGGGAAGAGCGGGCGGAGCUCUCGGAAGCCAAGUCCGCAGCGUUGCGCCUCCCGCGGGUGGCUGCGCCGCGGGGCCGAGGUUGCUGUGCUGCGCCGGAAGCCACCGGCCGCCCAGAGAAACAGCAAAUGACAGAGCAGAGGACAGCUGGCCCCAGCCAAACCUGUUGCUGCUGCAGUGCUUGUUAUGUCAGGAUAGUGGGGUCUCUGGACCCUUCCCCUCCCUUGCUGAGGCUCCUGGAUGCCCUCCUGCCAGGCUGUACAUUCUGCCUUUAGCCAGGGUGGUGUUGGUGUCAUGGCCCCAACUGCCAUCCAGCAGGGGAAGAAGAAUGCAACAGCCAGAUCAAGGCGUAGAACUCUCAGCUCCUCCAGCACUAUGUCUGCCUGCACACCGCCAUACUUCCCGCCAUGAUGACAAUGGACUACACCUCCAAAACUAGAACUCAAAGAGUACAGCUCCAUCUGUAAGUAGGUGACAACCUCUUGGCAACUCGAGCUCAGCUGAGGAUGAUGUGUGUGCAUCUAAGCUGGUUAGAGCGGUCAGCUUACAUUUUUAUGGAACAGAAAAGAGGACCUGCUUGACCACUCUGCUUGCAGUAGAUGCUGAUAGAUGACAGGUCAUGCUGGAUGAAGUUGCUGAGGUGGGAUGGCCAGUAGGAUGCCAUGUUUAGAAAAGGAAAGACUUGGGUACUCAAUAUGGCCAAAGGUGGUUAUGUCUUAUGUCAAAUAUCAGCUCCUAGUGUCUCCUCUGUUUCCUGCUUGACUUGCCCUGUUCAAGAAUAUCUUCUGACUUUUCUUCACUCUUUUGGAUCUUUUACUCUCUGUGCUUUCCUACACCCCUCUUCUUCCCUUUGAUUUUUUUUUUCUUUAGGAUGAAUGAGGACAUUCUCAGUUACUGGUCCAAAGUAACUGUUCUUUCUGUUUUGUAUCUUCACCUUCAUUUAGCAAGGCAGGUAGAGGAGGUUGUCCUGGGAAGGGAGGUGGGUGGUGAAUAAGCUCAUGGUGUUGGGUGCUGGAGCAUGGUAAGUUAGAUCGUCUUUUCUUUCUUUAGGUAAUCUUGAGCCACCAAUUUGUGUGGUUCCGUGACCUCAGGUGUGGUCUGAUGCAACAUGGACCUAGUCUUGUUGGUGGAUUAAUAUCAGGCUAUUGAUUAGAAACUAGAAGCAACAAAGGAAAGGCUUGAGCUUGCCUCCCAUGUAGCUGGAGUGUGGCUGCUCCCUGGAUCUGUUCCUUGAAACUUUACCAUUGAGAACCUCCAACAGUUGUCCUUUUUUCCAUUCUUCCAUUCCUGAUUUUUCUAUGAAUGGAAUGAGUAACUGGCGGAGUCCUGGUAUAAGGUCAGCCUGCUCAACUAGCUAGGCUGUGAGAUAUUUGGGAGAUAUCUGGGUAGCACUGUAGACAGUGUGUGGCCGUACCAGGGCACCUUUGCUUCCUACAGUCAGAGAAAGGAAGCUUCUUUGCUGCUGACAUCUAACCUGAGCUUAUUCUGGGUUAUCGUUCCCCUUUCAAUCCCUAAGAUCCUGGGAGCUGCCCAGGGCUCAAGCAUGCUCUUUCCUGUGCAGAGUGUUUAUUUGCCUUACUCUGGACACACUGAGCCUUUAAGGGGCUUAGGCUAGGUCUGGGGUCUAAAGCUUAGGCUAAGGAGUGACUGGAUUCUGAAUUUUUCUCUACUUGGGAUUUUCCUUUGAAUGAAUCAUUUUCUUCUUUCGGCCUUCAGUUGUCUUCAGAAUAUCUCCAGGCACUUGACAGGGAAAAUCUUCUCCUGCUUUACCGCCAGAGCAGUAUUGAGUUAAAGUGAUGGUGUCCCUCAAAACUGGGAAGACAGCUCCAUUGCAGACACAAACCAGAAAGCAGACAGCAGGUGCUUGCUGGGAUACUCAGAAUUCCCUGUCUAUCAUUGCUGGCAGUGUUCUUGGCCCCUAGGGCUAGUGGGAACUAACUAACAGCCAGAUGUCUAGGGUCUAAGGAGAAAAGGAAUAAUCCUGGCUAAUUCUACUGGGUACCUGUGGAAUCUCAAUGCCAGCUAGCCCAUGCAGCUACUCUGCUGGCAUGGUGUAGAUGUGUUUCACCUUCCCUGCCCCUCCCACUACUGUCCAAGGAAGAUUAAUGAAUCCCAUCUCACAUGUUUAAUUGUCUUGUGUCUCCCUUUGGGACAAGCCUCUGAGAUCCCUGGCAAGAACAGUCAAUUUGGAUGAGUUAUCUGUUAUUUCAAGGAGCUGAACCAGUUCAUUUUACUGCCUCAGUGGUGUGUGAGGGUCAGCUGGGGGUGGGGGUAAAAGGGCUGAAGUUUGAAUAAAGAGUUAAGUUCAGUUGGCUUUACAGCUGGGAGGUGGAAAGGAAUAAACUUGGUUCUUAGAGAUGAGCCCCACUGGAAGCCAGAUGUGCUGCUAGCUAUGCCUCAGAACCUUAGGGCUUGUGCCCUACUGUGGUGACCUCUGCUACCAUUCACAGCCCUUCCUUUGCCUGAUUAGGAAAGUGAGUGGAGAGCAAAGACGAUCUUGGCUUUGCCCUGUGUCAUACAGCUGUCUCUCUGAAUUAGGGCUGUACCUCCCUGCCCAUUUCCUCUUUCAGACCCUUGUCUAAUGCCUUGCUCCUAGUCACUAACCUGGCUUCUGAUGUGUUACCAGCCAAGCAGGCAGGACAGUUAGCAUUCCUUGUAGGAUCUAAGCAUGCCUGACAUUUUUUCCUUGGCCUCUGAGUCUGUGAGUUCUGGAAGACAACUAUCAUACUGAAGCUGAGAUGACAUGACUGACCAUAGUAAAAUGCACGGUGCCCUACCCAUGGACCUGAUUGGUCCACACCAUCUGGGUUCCACUUCAUUUCAAUCUACGGAGGAUUGGAUCCACAGAUGCUGAAGUCCUUUUGUGAAAUGAGAUUUUCAUUUAAUUUAUACAUAUCCUCUCACAAACUUUAAAUCAUGCCCAGAUUUCUUAUAAUACCUAACUCAAAGCAAAUGCUGUUUUAAGAAUUCUUUAGAGGAUAGUGGCAAAAAGGUCUGCUUGUAAAGAUGUAAUUCAUAUUUAUAUAUAUACACGUAUUCAUGCACAAUGAUUGGAGUUGGGGGGGUGCAGAACCUGGGGAGAUGGGGAGCUGACUAUAGUCUGUGCAGUUACAUUGCUACAUUCUUGAAGUACAGGUCUUCUGGUAUCAGUGAAUGAGUGACUUUGAUUUGGAGUAUAAACAGACUGCCCACUGCAGGGACCUUUGUGUCUCUGGGGUUUGGCUAUCUAUGAACCCUGGCAGAGGUCAAUUUGACCUAUCAUAGGUACCUAAUUUGGGGUGGUGGUUGUUUAGGUAUGCAAAUCCUAAGCCUGAUUAGCUGUUAUUUCUUUUCAGCUCAAAUUCAGAUGGCCUUGGAUGUCUAAGACCACAUGCCAUUCUGCUAGAUGAGAAAGGCCAGAAUGGAUAGGCACAGAGAGGGAGGGACACUGCCUCUGGCCACUGGCUGCUCUCCAAAACAGUGCAGCGCAUAUACAUUGCAGCAUGUCCUCCAGUCUGUGUGCUGCCAGGCGUGUGCCCAGGUACUGUGGAGAACUACCACUAAGAGAUC